GGAGGAAUUCACUGAGUAGAUGUGGAAAAAUAGGACAUUCCAGACACAGAAGACAUCAUGCAAUUAAUUAAGGUAUUACAGAUUUUGAAAAAGGUAAAGACUAGAGGCAUAUUUGGGAAUGGUUUUGCAAUGGAUGUUAUUAGAAGAAAAAAGGAUGAAAGAUCCAUGUAGUACAUUUACAUGUAGAUGAAGAAGCAAAUCCGGAGACAAAAUGGAGAAGAGACCAGAUAAUUGGAAGAUUGUAAAGUCCACCAGGCAAGCCAAUAUCUGUUUCUUUUGCUGCUAUAUUUCUAAUAUCUAGAUUAGUCUAGGCAUAUAAUAGGCCCUCAGUAAAUG
This 336-nucleotide long non-coding RNA is filed under the name Capra hircus (goat). RNAcentral describes it as "lncRNA (ENSCHIG00000001143.1)". Lineage: Eukaryota; Metazoa; Chordata; Mammalia; Artiodactyla; Bovidae. The record is from RNAcentral.